AAAGUACACUCAAGGGUGUGCUCAUAAGGAAAGGGACUUUCUCUUGUAUGAUCUAACCUUUAAUCCACAUUAGUUAUUGUUCAACUAAACCACAGUGCUUAACAAUUUAAAUGGUAGUUAAAUAUUUUCGGCCUAACGUUUUGUGAUGUACUCACUUCCUCAGAGCCUCUGAGGAAGUAUAUCAAACGCAUUAGGCCGAAAAUUACAGUUUUAAGUGUAAAUGUUUAUUAAUAAAGCUAAACCAAAUCUGAUCCUUCCCUUUGUCACCCGUAACGGUUUCCUAACCUCUACAGCAUGUGGAGUUUGUCUUUUGACCAAUCUUGGAUCCGUAGGAGAGAGAACCAGGAAGUGAGUGACGAGCGUCUGUGAGAGGAACGAGAGGUGAUAGCAGGAUUGUGCGGCUAUUUAUUCAUGAGGACCAUGUACUGUUUGCACAAACGUGUACAUGCACUGCAUGCAUUGCAAGUUGGAAAGAGUCAGAAAAAGGCAAAUAAAUCAAAAACUAUAACAAAAAAUAAAUGAAGACAAAUCAAAAAGUUGCUUGGAAUUAGACAUUCUAUAACAUAAUAAAAGUGAACACCCCUUUAAGGUCACCAUUGAUAAGCCAGAGACACUUCCAGCUGCAGCCUUGGGAAAGCACAAAGGAAUUGAUUUCAGUCUGUCCACAGAAGAUUUAACGAUUUGUUCACUCAUCCAGGAGGAUCAUGUGAAGGGAGCAGCAUUCCCCAUACAUUUAUUUUUACUUUAAAUUAUUGCUUCCCUCCAGUAACAUCUAGGGGCACAUUUACUAAGGGUCGAAGU
Molecule: long non-coding RNA, 801 nt
Organism: Xenopus laevis (African clawed frog)
Lineage: Eukaryota; Metazoa; Chordata; Amphibia; Anura; Pipidae
Exons: 3
Source: RefSeq, a predicted model, not a curated record